GGGGAAUUUUGGACAAUGGGCGCAAGCCUGAUCCAGCCAUGCCGCGUGAGUGAAGAAGGCCUUCGGGUUGUAAAGCUCUUUCGGCCGGGAAGAAAUCGCACAGGUUAAUACCCUGUGUGGAUGACGGUACCGGAAUAAGAAGCACCGGCUAACUACGUGCCAGCAGCCGCGGUAAUACGUAGGGUGCGAGCGUUAAUCGGAAUUACUGGGCGUAAAGCGUGCGCAGGCGGUUUGUUAAGAUAGGCGUGAAAUCCCCGGGCUCAACCUGGGAACUGCGCUUAUGACUGGCAAGCUAGAGUACGGCAGAGGGGGGUGGAAUUCCACGUGUAGCAGUGAAAUGCGUAGAGAUGUGGAGGAACACCAAUGGCGAAGGCAGCCCCCUGGGUCGAUACUGACGCUCAUGCACGAAAGCGUGGGUAGCAAAC
RNAcentral lists this ribosomal RNA (425 nucleotides) under uncultured bacterium. RNAcentral describes it as "bacterial SSU rRNA". It matches the Rfam family "Bacterial small subunit ribosomal RNA", at positions 356 to 773 of the family's 1533-position model. The record is from RNAcentral.